This is a non-coding RNA of Caenorhabditis elegans, 52 nucleotides long. The record is from Ensembl. Lineage: Eukaryota; Metazoa; Nematoda; Chromadorea; Rhabditida; Rhabditidae.
GAAAGAAAAAACUAAAUUUGAAUGCGCGCGCAGAAGGUGUUCAACAGAGCGC